UACAGAGGUCCCAAGCGUUGUUCGGAUUCACUGGGCGUAAAGGGUGCGUAGGUGGCUUGGUAAGUUUGAUGUGAAAUCUCCGGGCUUAACCCGGAAAUGGCAUUGAAUACUAUUGAGCUGGAGGUUUGGAGGGGGGACUGGAAUUCUCGGUGUAGCAGUGAAAUGCGUAGAUAUCGAGAGGAACACCAGUGGCGAAGGCGGUUGCCUGGAGCUUUGCUGACGCUGAGGCGCGAAAGCGUGGGGAGCGAUCCGG
RNAcentral lists this ribosomal RNA (253 nucleotides) under uncultured bacterium. Its description in RNAcentral is "partial 16S ribosomal RNA". It matches the Rfam family "Bacterial small subunit ribosomal RNA", at positions 524 to 776 of the family's 1533-position model. The record is from RNAcentral.